RNA transcript from Cyprinus carpio (common carp), 2595 nucleotides. It is a transcript of the gene named alpha-methylacyl-CoA racemase-like, with no coding region annotated. Lineage: Eukaryota; Metazoa; Chordata; Actinopteri; Cypriniformes; Cyprinidae. The record is from RefSeq and is a predicted model, not a curated record. The transcript has 7 exons.
AAAAGUCGUGUCUCCUAGUGUUUUUUCUUGUGUUGUUUGCUCAGAGGUGUUUUGUACAGAAAACAUAAAUAAAGAACUGUUGUUAUUUAGUGCUAUAGUAGUUUAAUAAUAAACUUGAAAUGGACAGCUGGAGUGAACUGUGACCUAAAUAACAAUAUCAUUUGUUUGUGCUUGGUACUUCACUAAUAUCUUUUUCCUCCUAGGUUCGCAUAUUGUGUUCCAUUAUGGCUCUGGCAGGAGUGCGUGUAAUUGAGCUCGCAGGACUGGCCCCUGCACCCUUCUGCGGGAUGAUACUGGCGGACUUCGGUGCAAGAGUGAUCCGGGUAGAUCGAACAAAGGGGGCAAUGACUGUAGAUACUCAGGCAAGAGGCAAACGUUCAGUGGCAUUGAAUCUGAAGAAUCCCAAAGGUGUGGCUGUUUUCAAAAGACUGUGUGUCCAGUCAGAUGUGGUUCUGGAGCCCUAUCGUAAAGGUGUUAUGGAGAAGAUGGGAUUAGGUCCUGAAGAUUUACUAAAAGAGAACCCACGCCUGAUCUAUGCACGACUCACCGGCUACGGUCAGAGCGGAUCCUACGCCAAGGCUGCCGGCCAUGAUAUCAACUACCUGGCCAUGUCAGGGUUACUGUCCAUGCUUGGCCGUAGCUCAGAGAAACCCUACGCUCCACUGAAUUUGGUGGCAGACUUUGCUGGAGGAGGUCUCAUGUGUGCUUUUGGGAUUGUGUUGGCCCUCCUGGAAAGGAGCAGGUCAGGACAAGGCCAGAUCAUUGAUGCCAGCAUGGUGGAAGGUGCAGCAUAUGUCGGCUCCUUCAUGUGGAAGUCCCGUAGCCUCGGCCUGUGGAAUCGUCCUCGUGGGGAAAACAUGCUGGAUAGUGGCGCUCCAUUCUAUGAUACGUACCGUACGUCUGACGGAAAGUAUAUGGCAGUGGGGGCCAUUGAGCCUCAGUUCUAUCAACAGCUUAUUAAAGGUCUGGCCUUAGAUGAUGCUGACCUGCCCGCACAAAUGAGUGUAUCUGAUUGGCCGCAGCUCAGGCAGACAUUCACCCGGGUGUUUGCCACCAAGACGCAAGCGGAGUGGAGUCGGAUUUUUGAUGGGACAGAUGCCUGUGUCACCCCUGUGCUGUCACUGGAUGAGGUACUCUCUCACCCCCACAACCAGGCACGGGGGUCAUUCUUCAAGGACUCGCAAGGGGAAAUUAGCCCCCGACCUGCACCCGUUCUGUCUCGCUCCCCUGCAGAACCCUGCCACUCCCGGGACCCCUUCAUCGGAGAGCACACUCGCUCUGUGCUGAAGGAGUACGGGUUUGAGCAAGCACAAAUAGAACAGCUUUUAUCUGCCGGUAUCAUAGAGUGUAACGAAGCUAAAGCGCGUCUAUAAAUCAAAGACUCUGAUUGGAGAAUCAUUACACUUUGUGGCCAGUGAUGCAGCGCAGGAAUCUGAGCACUUGAACUCCUCUGUCUCGAGUGUGAGGGGACAUUUCAGAACAAAAUUACUCUCCCUUGUGAAUCAGUGGGUAGUGCUGUCGAAGUGGACUAAAUGAUCCUGGGCUUUUCAGUUAAAAUGUCCAAAGAAUUCAACUCACAUUUGUAAUUGCUGCAGGGAAAGUCAAGUAGGAUUUAAUUAAAGCCUGUUGCAAAUAUUCUGUAUUAAUCUUAACAUCCCUAUUUUUGUCAGCAACCUCAUUCAACAAAGAUAUUCAAUAUUGGCUUAUUUUUUUAAGACUGUUCUGAAUAAAUAAUAGGAUUGUGAGGGCAUAUUAUUUGUAGUUGAUUAAAGCAUACCGCUUUUGGUUCUGAAUUUAAAUCCUUGACUAAUAAGUGCCUUUAGCAAGAAUAGCUGAGUGUGAGUCAUAGACUUAUUAACUGAGUGAAAUAUUUGCCUUUGCCUAAUUGCUAUGCAGCGCUGAUGAGCCAAGAUAAUAGUAUUAGGAUAAAACCAAUUAAUGAUUUAGCUUAAGAUGAAGUUUUCUGUUGUCAUAAUAUCGCUACUUGUAUAAAAUGCAACACUUGUUGAACAUGGUAGUGGCUUAUAAUGUAGAUAUCUGUUUUAUGGCCUGUAUUUACUAUUUGUAAUGGGGUCAGUAAGUUUUGUUUUUGUCACUUGAGGCCAAUUCACACUGUACUGACAAUGACAACAGACACGUUUGUCGGGUUUUGUUGGAUCAGUGUGUUAGCCCAUCCGUGUCCUGUUGGCAUUGGUCACCGCUUGGUCAUUUUUGCCCAUUGAAUUGGUGUUUUUUUUGGUCUUCAAAUGUCUAUGAAAUGAUGUACUGUAAUCUGGGGAUCAUUGUAUUAGUCGGCAUAUGGCUACUUUUAAUAUAGUAAAAACAGUAAUAUUGUGAAAUAUUAUUGUAAUUUAAAUGAACUGUAAUCUGUUUUAAUUAUUCCUGUGAUGGAAGUUGAAUUUUCUACAGCCAUCACACCAGUCUUCAAUGUCACAUGAUCCUUCAGAAAUCAUUUUAAUAUGCUGAUUUGGUGUUCAAUAAACAUUUGUUAUUAUUAUCAAUGUUCCAGACAGAAUGUUGCUGCUGGAUAUUUUUGUGGAAACGAAUAUAUAUUAUUAUUUUUUUUCAGGGAUCUUUCAUGAAUAGAAAGUUCAA